Molecule: ribosomal RNA, 500 nt
Filed under: uncultured bacterium
Lineage: Bacteria
Description: partial 16S ribosomal RNA
Rfam family: Bacterial small subunit ribosomal RNA
Source: RNAcentral
GACGAACGCUGGCAGCGUGCUUAACACAUGCAAGUCGAACGGGCCUGUCUUCUUUUUCGGGGGGUGGGUUGAGUGGCGCACGGGUGAGUAUCACGUGAGUAACCUGCCCUUCGGUCCUGGAUAACCGCUUGAAAGGGCGGCUAAUACGGGGUGGUCCGGUUGGUCCGCAUGGGCUGGUCGGGAUAGAUUCACUGUUUUUGGUGUUUCGGCGGGGGAUGGGCUCGCGGCCUAUCAGCUUGUUGGUGGGGUGAUGGCCUACCAAGGCGGUGACGGGUAGCCGGCCUGAGAGGGUGGGCGGCCACACUGGGACUGAGAUACGGCCCAGACUCCUGCGGGAGGCAGCAGUGGGGGGUAUUGCACAAUGGGCGGAAGCCUGAUGCAGCGACGUCGCGUGAGGGAUGGAGGCCUUCGGGUUGUGAACCUCUGUUUCCGGUGGUGAAGGCCCUGUCCGUGUGGUGGGGUUGACGGUAGCCGGGGAUGAAGCGCCGGCUAACUACGUG